Molecule: long non-coding RNA, 478 nt
Filed under: Mytilus galloprovincialis (Mediterranean mussel)
Lineage: Eukaryota; Metazoa; Mollusca; Bivalvia; Mytilida; Mytilidae
Source: RNAcentral
AUCCUGAUUUGAACCAACUUGAAAACUGGGUCCAUAAUCAAAAAUCUAAGUACAUGUUUAGAUUCAGCAUAUCAAAAAAGCCCAAGAAUUCAUUUUUUGUUAAAAUCAAACUUAGUUUAAUUUUGGACCCUUUGGACUUUAAUGUAGACCAAUUUGAAAACGGGACCAAAAAUUAAGAAUCUACAUACACAGUUAGAUUUGGCAUAUCAAAGAACCCCAAUUAUUCAAUUUUUGAUGAAAUCAAACAAAAAGUUUAAUUUUGGACCCCAGUUUGGACCAACUUGAAAACUGGACCAAUAAUCAAAAAUCUAAGUACAUUUUUAUAUUCAGCAUAUCAAAGAACCCCAAGGAUUCAAUUUUUGUUAAAAUCAAACUAAGUUUAAUUUUGGACCCUUUGGACCUUAAUGUAGACCAAUUUGAAAACGGGACCAAAACUUAAGAAUCUACAUACACAGUUAGAUUCGGCAUAUCAAAGAAC